Doryrhamphus excisus (bluestripe pipefish) is the source of this 1177-nucleotide non-coding RNA. The record is from RefSeq and is a predicted model, not a curated record. Lineage: Eukaryota; Metazoa; Chordata; Actinopteri; Syngnathiformes; Syngnathidae.
UUGCUCUGCCAGUUUUUACACCACGGACACUCGACAAUGACAUAAUAUUUGCAGAAAAUGAUUAAUAAAUGAUAAAUAAAUUUUUAGAGUGAUUUUGGAUAAUUCCUCUGCCGCGGCAGAGUGGUUGAAAAUCACUCUUCUAGGACAAACACCAUUAUUAUUCGGGGCUUUGUUACAUAAGUGACAGGUUGGAAUGUCAUUACACUGGACACGGGGUAGGAUGAACAUGGCGCACUACAGCUGCCAAGAGAAGAGGAGAGCUUGGAGAAGAGUCACAGAGGCAGGCGUGAUGGGAAUAUUAAAGAGAAAGGUUGCUCACCCCCAGGCUAGUCAGCGGUCUUUGGUAUCAUUGAAGGCAACAACAAGUGUGGCAUACCCCAGAGAAAAUGGCAAGAUGACAUCAACGAAUGGUGCCAGAAGAGCAUAUGGCAACCCGAGACCAUUGACGUCGACAGAGACAAGUGGCCAAAAUUUGUAUUGACCUAUGGAUAUUAAUCCUGCAGGAAGCAACGGACUGGAACCACGCCUUGACAUAUUUUCCCCAUUAAACUGAUUCACGAGGGAUCAGCCUACAGUGUGUGGUCAUAGAUAGAAGCCGUUAGAAGGAAGACCACCCAUUUGGGCUAACUCAGGUACAGUAUGUGCAACUUGUGCAUGAGUGCAGAGUUUGGACUCACCUCGCACAUCUGCAGCUGAAAGGUCCUUCUCUCCCUUUCCAUGUCCUCCCCUCCGUCCGAUGCCUCCGUCCUGAUCAACUUGCCCUUCUCCUUGCGCUCCUUCUCCAGCUUGGCUCUAAACAUUUAUUUGUGCUUUAACAUAACACAAAGCUAACCAUUGCAGUAAAAUGUCAUAUGGUUAAUUACAUCUUUAAGUCGUACUCCUUCCAACUUCUCUCCAUCUGUUUCUUCAGUUCCUGAGCAUAACACACAUGAAAAACACAACGUGAGUUAAUCAGGGAUAUUUUACAACACAGCACUGUCUUGUUUAUCACGGUUAUGGCUUCAGACCCGACCGUGAUAAGUAUAUUUCGCCGAGGUAGGAUUUCUUAUUCCUUAUUGAUAAAUGGAAUACACUCUAAAUACAUUUUUUAUCAUUAUUAUAGCCUUCUAGACAUGAAAUAACACACUCUAAGUCGCCUUUAAACUUGAAUUACAAAAUACAAUAGACAUUAUUAGAA